GACGUAGGGCGCGAGCGUUGUCCGGAUUUAUUGGGCGUAAAGAGCUCGUAGGCGGCUUGUCGCGUCGUCCGUGAAAACUUGGGGCUCAACCCCAAGCUUGCGGUCGAUACGGGCAGACUAGAGUGUGGUAGGGGAGACUGGAAUUCCUGGUGUAGCGGUGAAAUGCGCAGAUAUCAGGAGGAACACCGAUGGCGAAGGCAGGUCUCUGGGCCACUACUGACGCUGAGAAGCGAAAGCAUGGGGAGCGAACAG
This 252-nucleotide ribosomal RNA is filed under the name uncultured bacterium. RNAcentral describes it as "partial 16S ribosomal RNA". It matches the Rfam family "Bacterial small subunit ribosomal RNA", at positions 524 to 775 of the family's 1533-position model. The record is from RNAcentral.